AGCGAACGCUGGCGGCAGGCUUAACACAUGCAAGUCGAACGCCCCGCAAGGGGAUCGCCUGCCGGGGCAAUAACCCGUGGGAUCAUAACCGUUGGAUCGGCCCAACUCAGGGAAACUUACGCCAAUACCAGAUGAGCCCUUACGGGGAAAGAUUUAUCGCCGCCAGAUUGGCCCGCGUCUGAUUAGCUAGUUGGUGAGGUAACGGCUCACCAAGGCGACGAUCAGUAGCUGGACUGAGAGGAUGACCAGCCACACUGGGACUGAGACACGGCCCAGACUCCUACGGGAGGCAGCAGUGGGGAAUAUUGGACAAUGGGGGCAACCCUGAUCCAGCCAUGCCGCGUGAGUGAAGAAGGCCUUAGGGUUGUAAAGCUCUGUUGCCCGGGAAGAUAAUGACGGUACCGAGAGAAUAAGCCCCGGCUAACUUCGUG
This 431-nucleotide ribosomal RNA is filed under the name uncultured bacterium. Its description in RNAcentral is "partial 16S ribosomal RNA". It matches the Rfam family "Bacterial small subunit ribosomal RNA", at positions 29 to 507 of the family's 1533-position model. The record is from RNAcentral.